RNAcentral lists this transfer RNA (85 nucleotides) under Gammaproteobacteria bacterium. RNAcentral describes it as "tRNA-Leu". It matches the Rfam family "tRNA". From Rfam's summary of the family: Transfer RNA (tRNA) molecules are approximately 80 nucleotides in length. Their secondary structure includes four short double-helical elements and three loops (D, anti-codon, and T loops). Lineage: Bacteria; Pseudomonadati; Pseudomonadota; Gammaproteobacteria. The record is from RNAcentral.
GCCGAUGUGGUGGAACUGGUAGACACGCUGUCUUGAGGGGGCAGUAACGAAAGUUGUGCCGGUUCGAGUCCGGCCAUCGGCAUCA